RNAcentral lists this ribosomal RNA (435 nucleotides) under uncultured bacterium. RNAcentral describes it as "partial 16S ribosomal RNA". It matches the Rfam family "Bacterial small subunit ribosomal RNA", at positions 29 to 507 of the family's 1533-position model. The record is from RNAcentral.
AGCGAACGCUGGCGGCAGGCCUAACACAUGCAAGUCGAACGGGCUUCUUCGGAAGUCAGUGGCAGACGGGUGAGUAACACGUGGGAACGUGCCCUUCGGUUCGGAAUAACUCAGGGAAACUUGAGCUAAUACCGGAUACGCCCUUUUGGGGAAAGGUUUACUGCCGAAGGAUCGGCCCGCGUCUGAUUAGCUUGUUGGUGGGGUAACGGCCUACCAAGGCGACGAUCAGUAGCUGGUCUGAGAGGAUGAUCAGCCACACUGGGACUGAGACACGGCCCAGACUCCUACGGGAGGCAGCAGUGGGGAAUAUUGGACAAUGGGCGCAAGCCUGAUCCAGCCAUGCCGCGUGAGUGAUGAAGGCCUUAGGGUUGUAAAGCUCUUUUGUCCGGGACGAUAAUGACGGUACCGGAAGAAUAAGCCCCGGCUAACUUCGUG